This 515-nucleotide ribosomal RNA is filed under the name uncultured bacterium. RNAcentral's name for it is "partial 16S ribosomal RNA". It matches the Rfam family "Bacterial small subunit ribosomal RNA", at positions 28 to 523 of the family's 1533-position model. The record is from RNAcentral.
GAUGAACGCUGGCGGCGUGCCUAAUACAAGCAAGUCGAGCGAAUGGAUUAAGAGCUUGCUCUUAUGAAGUUAGCGGCGGACGGGUGAGUAACACGUGGGUAACCUGCCCAUAAGACUGGGAUAACUCCGGGAAACCGGGGCUAAUACCGGAUAACAUUUUGAACCGCAUGGUUCGAAAUUGAAAGGCGGCUUCGGCUGUCACUUAUGGAUGGACCCGCGUCGCAUUAGCUAGUUGGUGAGGUAACGGCUCACCAAGGCAACGAUGCGUAGCCGACCUGGGAGGGUGAUCGGCCACACUGGGACUGAGACACGGCCCAGACGCCUACGGGAGGCAGCAGUAGGGAAUCUUCCGCAAUGGACGAAAGUCUGACGGAGCAACGCCGCGUGAGUGAUGAAGGCUUUCGGGUCGUAAAACUCUGUUGUUAGGGAAGAACAAGUGCUAGUUGAAUAAGCUGGCACCUUGACGGUACCUAACCAGAAAGCCACGGCUAACUACGUGCCAGCCGCCGCAGUAA